This 253-nucleotide ribosomal RNA is filed under the name uncultured bacterium. RNAcentral's name for it is "partial 16S ribosomal RNA". It matches the Rfam family "Bacterial small subunit ribosomal RNA", at positions 524 to 776 of the family's 1533-position model. The record is from RNAcentral.
UACGUAGGGGGCAAGCGUUGUCCGGAAUUAUUGGGCGUAAAGAGCGCGUAGGCGGUCCGGUAAGUCGGCUGUGAAAGUCAAGGGCUCAACCCUUGAAAGCCGGCCGAUACUGUCGGACUAGAGUCCGGAAGAGGCGAGUGGAAUUCCCGGUGUAGCGGUGAAAUGCGCAGAUAUCUGGAGGAACACCGGUGGCGAAGGCGGCAUUCUGGACUGCAACUGACACUGAAAGACGAAAGCCAGGGGAGCAAACGGG